Molecule: ribosomal RNA, 392 nt
Filed under: uncultured bacterium
Lineage: Bacteria
Description: partial 16S ribosomal RNA
Rfam family: Bacterial small subunit ribosomal RNA
Source: RNAcentral
AUACGGAGGAUGCGAGCGUUAUCCGGAUUUAUUGGGUUUAAAGGGAGCGUAGGCGGGAGCUUAAGUCAGCGGUUAAAUGGUGCGGCUCAACCGUGCCCUGCCGUUGAAACUGGGUUUCUUGAGAGUGCAAGAGGCGGAUGGAAUUCAUGGUGUAGCGGUGAAAUGCUUAGAUAUCAUGAAGAACUCCGAUUGCGAAGGCAGUCCGCUGGGGCACGUCUGACGCUGAUGCUCGAAGGUGCGGGAAUCAAACAGGAUUAGAUACCCUGGUAGUCCGCACGGUAAACGAUGAUUACCCGCUGUCGGCGGCAGACAGUCGGCGGCUAAGCGAAAGCGAUAAGUAAUCCACCUGGGGAGUACGCCGGCAACGGUGAAACUCAAAUGAAUUGACGGGG